AUACUUACCUGGCAGGGGAGAUACCAUGAUCAAGAAGGUGGUUCACCCAUGGCGAGGCUUGGCCAUUGCACUCCGGUUGAGCUGACCUAUGCGAAUUUCUCAAAUGUAGAAAUCUCGACUGCAUAAUUUGUGGUAGUGGGGGACUGCGUUCGCGCUCUCCCCUG
This is a small nuclear RNA of Cottoperca gobio, 164 nucleotides long. Its record names the gene U1. It matches the Rfam family "U1 spliceosomal RNA". Rfam says of the family: U1 is a small nuclear RNA (snRNA) component of the spliceosome (involved in pre-mRNA splicing). Its 5' end forms complementary base pairs with the 5' splice junction, thus defining the 5' donor site of an intron. The record is from Ensembl. Lineage: Eukaryota; Metazoa; Chordata; Actinopteri; Perciformes; Bovichtidae.